This 537-nucleotide ribosomal RNA is filed under the name Pseudomonas sp. HA-OP18. RNAcentral's name for it is "bacterial SSU rRNA". It matches the Rfam family "Bacterial small subunit ribosomal RNA", at positions 968 to 1506 of the family's 1533-position model. The record is from RNAcentral. Lineage: Bacteria; Pseudomonadati; Pseudomonadota; Gammaproteobacteria; Pseudomonadales; Pseudomonadaceae.
ACCUUACAGGCCUUGAAUCCAAUGAACUUUCCAGAGAUGGAUUGGUGCUUCGGGAACAUUGAGACAGGUGCUGAUGGUGUCGUCAGCUCGUGUCGUGAGAUGUUGGAUUAAGACCCGUAACGAGCGCAACGCCUUGUCCUUAGUUACCAGCACGUUAAGGUGGGCACUCUAAGGAGACUGCCGGUGACAAACCGGAGGAAAGGUGGCGAUGACGUCAAGUCAUAAUGGGCCCUUACGGCCUGAGCUACACACGUGCUACAAUGGUCGGUACAGAGGGUUGCCAAGCCGCGAGUGGGAGCUAAUCCCAGAAAACCGAUCGUAGUCCGGAUCGCAGUCUGAACUCGACUGCGUGAAGUCGGAAUCGCUAGUAAUCGCAAAUCAGAAUGUCGCGGGGAAUACGUUCCCGGGCCUUGUACAACCGCCCGUCACACCAUGGGAAGUGUAUGCACCAGAAGUAGCUAGUCUAACCCUUCGGGAGGACGGUUACCACGGUGUGAUUCAAUGACUAGGAUAAAGUCGUAACAAGGUAACCCGUAC